RNAcentral lists this transfer RNA (74 nucleotides) under Candidatus Nealsonbacteria bacterium CG_4_10_14_0_2_um_filter_40_15. Its description in RNAcentral is "tRNA-Arg". It matches the Rfam family "tRNA". From Rfam's summary of the family: Transfer RNA (tRNA) molecules are approximately 80 nucleotides in length. Their secondary structure includes four short double-helical elements and three loops (D, anti-codon, and T loops). RNAcentral also lists the same sequence under 1 other name. Lineage: Bacteria; Candidatus Nealsoniibacteriota. The record is from RNAcentral.
GCCCCUGUAGCUCAAUUGGAUAGAGCAGUACCCUUCUAAGGUAAAGGUUGCAGAUUCGAGUUCUGCCAGGGGCA